UACGAAGGGGGCUAGCGUUGCUCGGAACCACUGGGCGUAAAGGGUGCGUAGGCGGGUCUUUAAGUCAGGGGUGAAAUCCUGGAGCUCAACUCCAGAACUGCCUUUGAUACUGAGGAUCUUGAGUCCGGGAGAGGUGAGUGGAACUGCGAGUGUAGAGGUGAAAUUCGUAGAUAUUCGCAAGAACACCAGUGGCGAAGGCGGCUCACUGGCCCGGUACUGACGCUGAGGCGCGAAAGCGUGGGGAGCAAACAGG
This 253-nucleotide ribosomal RNA is filed under the name uncultured bacterium. RNAcentral's name for it is "partial 16S ribosomal RNA". It matches the Rfam family "Bacterial small subunit ribosomal RNA", at positions 524 to 776 of the family's 1533-position model. The record is from RNAcentral.